GAUGAAGAACGCAGUGAAAUGCGAUAAGUAGUGUGAAUUGCAGAAUUCCGUGAAUCAUCGAAUCUUUGAACGCACCUUGCGCCCUUUGGCCAUUCCGAAGGGCAUGCCUGUUUGAGUAUCAUGAACACCUCAACUCUCAUGGCUUGCCAUGAUGAGCUUGGACUUUGGGGGUCUUGCUGGCCUGCGGCCAGCUCCUCUCAAAUGAAUUAGCUUUCCAGUGUUUGGUUGGCAUCACAGGUGUGAUAACUAUCUACGCUUGUGGUUUCCACCAGGUAACCUUCAGUAACAUGGGGGUUUGCUGGAGCUCAUAAAUGUCUCUCCUCAGUGGGGACAGCUCUUUGAACGUUUGAUCUCAAAUCAGGUAGGACUACCCGCUGAACUUAAGCAUAUCAAUAAGCGGAGGA
RNAcentral lists this unclassified non-coding RNA (404 nucleotides) under soil metagenome. RNAcentral describes it as "partial contains 5.8S ribosomal RNA, internal transcribed spacer 2, and large subunit ribosomal RNA". The stretch from base 1 to 121 matches the Rfam family "5.8S ribosomal RNA", at positions 35 to 154 of the family's 154-position model. The record is from RNAcentral.